GAUGAAGAACGCAGCGAAAUGCGAUAAGUAAUGUGAAUUGCAGAAUUCAGUGAAUCAUCGAAUCUUUGAACGCACAUUGCGCCCGCCAGUAUUCUGGCGGGCAUGCCUGUCCGAGCGUCAUUUCAACCCUCGAACCCCUCCGGGGGGUCGGCGUUGGGGAUCGGCCCUUUACGGGGCCGGCCCCGAAAUACAGUGGCGGUCUCGCCGCAGCCUCUCCUGCGCAGUAGUUUGCACACUCGCAUCGGGAGCGCGGCGCGUCCACAGCCGUUAAACACCCCAAACUUCUGAAAUGUUGACCUCGGAUCAGGUAGGAAUACCCGCUGAACUUAAGCAUAUCAAUAAACGGAGGA
This 350-nucleotide unclassified non-coding RNA is filed under the name soil metagenome. RNAcentral's name for it is "partial contains 5.8S ribosomal RNA, internal transcribed spacer 2, and large subunit ribosomal RNA". The stretch from base 1 to 120 matches the Rfam family "5.8S ribosomal RNA", at positions 35 to 154 of the family's 154-position model. The record is from RNAcentral.